GGAGCUCACGAUCAACUUCCUAGUGGGUCACCCAUCCCGGAAUUGCUCUAGCCACCAACUCACCUAACUUCGGAGUUCCUACGACUCCGAAGCCAGUGAGCUCCCAAAAGGCCUCAUGCUAGAUGGAUGGGGGUGUGCACAUAUAAGGCACAUCACCCCCUCUCCGUUGGUUGAUGUGGGAUCUUACAUCAUGAGUCCCUUCCCGAUGUCGUGGGUAAGAAAUGAGCUUGGCCCUUCACCGAGUAUUCGACAUCGG
This 256-nucleotide long non-coding RNA is filed under the name Prunus persica (peach). RNAcentral's name for it is "long non-coding RNA (PPER_LNC000159)". Lineage: Eukaryota; Viridiplantae; Streptophyta; Magnoliopsida; Rosales; Rosaceae. The record is from RNAcentral.